Molecule: long non-coding RNA, 411 nt
Filed under: Mytilus galloprovincialis (Mediterranean mussel)
Lineage: Eukaryota; Metazoa; Mollusca; Bivalvia; Mytilida; Mytilidae
Source: RNAcentral
AUCACAUAUUACAGGUAUAGCACUUAUUCCAGUACAAAUAUAUAAUGCAUUAUGGAGAUUACAUGUAAAUGAUUGCAAAGAAUCUUUUAACCUCUUCAUUUUGGAUGAAUGUUUUAUGGAAAUCAAAAUAUAUUUUCAGGUCAUGAAACGAGGAGUCAGUUGAAGUAUGCUUACAUAAAGAUUGAGCCGUUUGCUGGAUUUCUUUAUUUUUUUAUUUUAUGUAUCUCUCUGUAUUAAAAGACAAACAGUUUGACAACUAUCAAGCCACUAACAUAGUUGAAAAACAAGUGAGGAACAAUACUCGCUCGGUGUUUUGAUAUUCCUACCAGUAAAACACCACAACAUUCAAAUUCAUUCUUUGUCUUCACAAUAGUAAAUUGGAACCACCUGGAAGACACUAUUGUUCGCGCC